AAGGUUCUAGUAAACAAAUUACAUAGCCCUGUCAGCGCUAAAUUACAAGCCAUAAGCCUGUGAAUCUUA
RNAcentral lists this transfer RNA (69 nucleotides) under Takydromus intermedius. RNAcentral describes it as "tRNA-Asp". Lineage: Eukaryota; Metazoa; Chordata; Lepidosauria; Squamata; Lacertidae. The record is from RNAcentral.